UUAAGCGACUAAGCGUACACGGUGGAUGCCCUGGCAGUCAGAGGCGAUGAAGGACGUGCUAAUCUGCGAUAAGCGUCGGUAAGGUGAUAUGAACCGUUAUAACCGGCGAUUUCCGAAUGGGGAAACCCAGUGUGAUUCGUCACACUAUCAUUAACUGAAUCCAUAGGUUAAUGAGGCGAACCGGGGGAACUGAAACAUCUAAGUACCCCGAGGAAAAGAAAUCAACCGAGAUUCCCCCAGUAGCGGCGAGCGAACGGGAGCAGCCCAGAGCCUGAAUCAGUGUGUGUUAGUGGAAGCGUCUGGAAAGGCGCGCGAUACAGGGUGACAGCCCCGUACACAAAAAUGCACAUGCUGUGAGCUCGAUGAGUAGGGCGGGACACGUGGUAUCCUGUCUGAAUAUGGGGGGACCAUCCUCCAAGGCUAAAUACUCCUGACUGACCGAUAGUGAACCAGUACCGUGAGGGAAAGGCGAAAAGAACCCCGGCGAGGGGAGUGAAAAAGAACCUGAAACCGUGUACGUACAAGCAGUGGGAGCACGCUUAGGCGUGUGACUGCGUACCUUUUGUAUAAUGGGUCAGCGACUUAUAUUCUGUAGCAAGGUUAACCGAAUAGGGGAGCCGAAGGGAAACCGAGUCUUAACUGGGCGUUAAGUUGCAGGGUAUAGACCCGAAACCCGGUGAUCUAGCCAUGGGCAGGUUGAAGGUUGGGUAACACUAACUGGAGGACCGAACCGACUAAUGUUGAAAAAUUAGCGGAUGACUUGUGGCUGGGGGUGAAAGGCCAAUCAAACCGGGAGAUAGCUGGUUCUCCCCGAAAGCUAUUUAGGUAGCGCCUCGUGAAUUCAUCUCCGGGGGUAGAGCACUGUUUCGGCAAGGGGGUCAUCCCGACUUACCAACCCGAUGCAAACUGCGAAUACCGGAGAAUGUUAUCACGGGAGACACACGGCGGGUGCUAACGUCCGUCGUGAAGAGGGAAACAACCCAGACCGCCAGCUAAGGUCCCAAAGUCAUGGUUAAGUGGGAAACGAUGUGGAAGGCCCAGACAGCCGGAUGUUGGCUUAGAAGCAGCCAUCAUUUAAAGAAAGCGUAAUAGCUCACUGGUCGAGUCGGCCUGCGCGGAAGAUGUAACGGGCUAAACCAUGCACCGAAGCUGCGGCAGCGACGCUGAUGCGUUGUUGGGUAGGGGAGCGUUCUGUAAGCCUGCGAAGGUGUGCUGUGAGGCAUGCUGGAGGUAUCAGAAGUGCGAAUGCUGACAUAAGUAACGAUAAAGCGGGUGAAAAGCCCGCUCGCCGGAAGACCAAGGGUUCCUGUCCAACGUUAAUCGGGGCAGGGUGAGUCGACCCCCUAAGGCGAGGCCGAAAGGCGUAGUCGAUGGGAAACAGGUUAAUAUUCCUGUACUUGGUGUUACUGCGAAGGGGGGACGGAGAAGGCUAUGUUGGCCGGGCGACGGUUGUCCCGGUUUAAGCGUCGUGUAGGCUGGUUUUCCAGGCAAAUCCGGAAAACUAAGGCUGAGGCGUGAUGACGAGGCACUACGGUGCUGAAGCAACAAAUGCCCUGCUUCCAGGAAAAGCCUCUAAGCAUCAGGUAACAUCAAAUCGUACCCCAAACCGACACAGGUGGUCAGGUAGAGAAUACCAAGGCGCUUGAGAGAACUCGGGUGAAGGAACUAGGCAAAAUGGUGCCGUAACUUCGGGAGAAGGCACGCUGAUAUGUAGGUGAAGCGACUUGCUCGUGGAGCUGAAAUCAGUCGAAGAUACCAGCUGGCUGCAACUGUUUAUUAAAAACACAGCACUGUGCAAACACGAAAGUGGACGUAUACGGUGUGACGCCUGCCCGGUGCCGGAAGGUUAAUUGAUGGGGUCAGCGCAAGCGAAGCUCUUGAUCGAAGCCCCGGUAAACGGCGGCCGUAACUAUAACGGUCCUAAGGUAGCGAAAUUCCUUGUCGGGUAAGUUCCGACCUGCACGAAUGGCGUAAUGAUGGCCAGGCUGUCUCCACCCGAGACUCAGUGAAAUUGAACUCGCUGUGAAGAUGCAGUGUACCCGCGGCAAGACGGAAAGACCCCGUGAACCUUUACUAUAGCUUGACACUGAACAUUGAGCCUUGAUGUGUAGGAUAGGUGGGAGGCUUUGAAGUGUGGACGCCAGUCUGCAUGGAGCCGACCUUGAAAUACCACCCUUUAAUGUUUGAUGUUCUAACGUGGACCCGUGAUCCGGGUUGCGGACAGUGUCUGGUGGGUAGUUUGACUGGGGCGGUCUCCUCCUAAAGAGUAACGGAGGAGCACGAAGGUUGGCUAAUCCUCUGGUCGGACAUCAGGAGGUUAGUGCAAUGGCAUAAGCCAGCUUGACUGCGAGCGUGACGGCGCGAGCAGGUGCGAAAGCAGGUCAUAGUGAUCCGGUGGUUCUGAAUGGAAGGGCCAUCGCUCAACGGAUAAAAGGUACUCCGGGGAUAACAGGCUGAUACCGCCCAAGAGUUCAUAUCGACGGCGGUGUUUGGCACCUCGAUGUCGGCUCAUCACAUCCUGGGGCUGAAGUAGGUCCCAAGGGUAUGGCUGUUCGCCAUUUAAAGUGGUACGCGAGCUGGGUUUAGAACGUCGUGAGACAGUUCGGUCCCUAUCUGCCGUGGGCGCUGGAGAAUUGAGGGGGGCUGCUCCUAGUACGAGAGGACCGGAGUGGACGCAUCACUGGUGUUCGGGUUGUCAUGCCAAUGGCACUGCCCGGUAGCUAAAUGCGGAAGAGAUAAGUGCUGAAAGCAUCUAAGCACGAAACUUGCCCCGAGAUGAGUUCUCCCUGACUCCUUGAGAGUCCUGAAGGAACGUUGAAGACGACGACGUUGAUAGGCCGGGUGUGUAAGCGCAGCGAUGCGUUGAGCUAACCGGUACUAAUGAACCGUGAGGCUUAACCU
RNAcentral lists this ribosomal RNA (2901 nucleotides) under Escherichia coli. Its description in RNAcentral is "bacterial LSU rRNA". It matches the Rfam family "Bacterial large subunit ribosomal RNA". Lineage: Bacteria; Pseudomonadati; Pseudomonadota; Gammaproteobacteria; Enterobacterales; Enterobacteriaceae. The record is from RNAcentral.